RNAcentral lists this transfer RNA (71 nucleotides) under Loxodonta africana (African savanna elephant). It matches the Rfam family "tRNA". From Rfam's summary of the family: Transfer RNA (tRNA) molecules are approximately 80 nucleotides in length. Their secondary structure includes four short double-helical elements and three loops (D, anti-codon, and T loops). Further hydrogen bonds mediate the characteristic L-shaped molecular structure. tRNAs have two regions of fundamental functional importance: the anti-codon, which is responsible for specific mRNA codon recognition, and the 3' end, to which the tRNAs corresponding amino acid is attached (by aminoacyl-tRNA synthetases). tRNAs cope with the degeneracy of the genetic code in two manners: having more than one tRNA (with a specific anti-codon) for a particular amino acid; and 'wobble' base-pairing, i.e. permitting non-standard base-pairing at the 3rd anti-codon position. Lineage: Eukaryota; Metazoa; Chordata; Mammalia; Proboscidea; Elephantidae. The record is from Rfam by way of RNAcentral.
GCAGUGGUGGUUCAGUGGUAGAACUCUCACCUUCUAUGCCAGAGGCCAGGGUUCAAUUCCCAGCCAAUGUG